This 206-nucleotide ribosomal RNA is filed under the name uncultured bacterium. Its description in RNAcentral is "partial 16S ribosomal RNA". It matches the Rfam family "Bacterial small subunit ribosomal RNA", at positions 568 to 774 of the family's 1533-position model. The record is from RNAcentral.
CGCGUAGGCGGUACGACAAGUCUGGAGUGAAAGCCCGGGGCUCAACCCCGGAAUGUCUUUGGAAACUGUCGAACUUGAGUGCGGAAGAGGCAUCUGGAAUUCCCAGUGUAGCGGUGAAAUGCGUAGAUAUUGGGAAGAACACCUGAGGCGAAGGCGGGAUGCUGGGCCGACACUGACGCUGAGGCGCGAAAGCCAGGGAGCGAACG